UACGUAGGGACCAAGCGUUGUUCGGAUUUACUGGGCGUAAAGGGCGCGUAGGCGGCGUAUCAAGUCACUUGUGAAAUCUCCGGGCUUAACUCGGAACGGUCAAGUGAUACUGAUGUGCUAGAGUGCAGAAGGGGCAACCGGAAUUCUUGGUGUAGCGGUGAAAUGCGUAGAUAUCAAGAGGAACACCGGAGGUGAAGACGGGUUGCUGGGCUGACACUGACGCUGAGGCGCGAAAGCUAGGGUAGCAAACGGG
Molecule: ribosomal RNA, 253 nt
Filed under: uncultured prokaryote
Description: partial 16S ribosomal RNA
Rfam family: Bacterial small subunit ribosomal RNA
Source: RNAcentral